This is a long non-coding RNA of Numida meleagris (helmeted guineafowl), 1195 nucleotides long. RefSeq lists it as uncharacterized. Lineage: Eukaryota; Metazoa; Chordata; Aves; Galliformes; Numididae. The record is from RefSeq and is a predicted model, not a curated record. The transcript is spliced from 9 exons.
GGCCCCUCCAAGCGCCGCUGGGGCCGGUGCCGGUGCGCGGGGGCGGCCGGAGGGCGUGGGAAGAAAGUUUGCGGCGGCGGCGGGACGCGGCCCCUCGGGGUCUCUUCGGUGCCAAACGCGGGGACGUCUGCGGGUGAGCUGCCGGCGCCUCCCCUCCGCCGACCGCUUCACGGCCCCGGCAUCGGGUUCUUAUAGGAGAGCCGGCGCAUCCUUCUGGCUCGGAAGAGUUCAAGAGCGCUGCUUGUGUCUUCUGUAGUCGCCCGCACAGGAGCCCGGCUGCUCAGGUAUGUUUUUGGGGCUGGGUGAAGCAGCAGCAUGCAGCAGACAAGAGCUCCAACACUCACUGCCUGCUUCCUCAAGUCCCAACGAUCCCUCUUCCUGUUUUUCAUGUUUGCUGUGAGCAGAUAUAAACCAGCUUUUUGGCUCAGACCUAUUCCUCUGAAGACACAUGCUUCCUGCACAAAACACUGCAGGCCCAGCCCAGGUGCUGAGGUUGUUGGCCUUGCUCCUCCAUCAGACUUUGGGGAGCUGCUUGUACAGUGAAGUAUUCAGUUGUGCCUGCAGUUUCCAGAGGAGCACGCAGCUGAGGAAGAGAAAGACCUGUGAGGAAGACAAGCUGAGGGAAGUCCAAGUGUUCAGGAAAAGAGACUGUGGGCCUGGAACAUCCUUAUGGUCUCCUCAGAGAGAAGGCCACCUGGGAGGACUUGCAGAGGACGAUCCUGACUGUGGUGUGAAGAGGUGGCAGUGAGCUGGCACCUUUUGAUAUUGAGAUUCUCACUCUUAAGCCAUUUAAUUAAGAUAUUUUCCUGAGCUCCCAUGACUUCUGGUUGCCUGCUGUGAGAAGCUGGUACCAACCAGCUCACUUAAGCUGAUGAAAAAGUCUGAGUUAGAGGAACCUGCUGACCUCUCAGAAGCAACCACUACCUCCAGAACUCUAAUCAGCUGGUUCCAGGUGGAAUAGGUCCAUGCACUGGAACCAGUUUUUGGAGAAGUUCUAGAUGCGCUUCCACACAGAAAUUCAUGAAGCUCAUACCUUCUGGAAAUUCUCUAAUCUUGGCCUUCAUGGAAGUUUCUAGAACUGAUCAGAUAACACAGAGUCUAGGAAUAAGUACUGCCUAUUUUAUCUCACCUUUAACUUCAUGGUUGCUGGAGAAGUGAAGGUUUCCGAAGGGUAAUAGAAAGAGAUCCUAGAAUC